GAUGAACGCUGGCGGCGUGCCUAACACAUGCAAGUCGAACGGAGUCCAGCCUUUAAGACCUUCGGGUCAAAGAGGGGAAGACUGAGUGGCGGACGGGUGAGUAACACGUGGGCAACCUGGCUCAUAGAGGGGGAUAACAGAGAGAAAUUUCUGCUAAUACCGCAUAAGCACACACUGCCGCAUGGCAGAGGGUGAAAAGAGAAUCGCUAUGAGAUGGACCCGCGUCUGAUUAGCCAGUUGGCAGGGUAAGAGCCUACCAAAGCGACGAUCAGUAGCCGAUCUGAGAGGAUGAGCGGCCACAUUGGGACUGAGACACGGCCCAAACUCCUACGGGAGGGAGCAGUGGGGGAUAUUGCACAAUGGGGGGAACCCUGAUGCAGCGACGCCGCGUGAGUGAAGAAGUAAUUCGGUAUGUAAAGCUCUAUCAGCAGGGAAGAUAAUGACGGUACGUGAAUAAGAAGCCCCGGCUAACUACGUG
RNAcentral lists this ribosomal RNA (478 nucleotides) under uncultured bacterium. RNAcentral describes it as "partial 16S ribosomal RNA". It matches the Rfam family "Bacterial small subunit ribosomal RNA", at positions 28 to 507 of the family's 1533-position model. The record is from RNAcentral.